RNAcentral lists this ribosomal RNA (509 nucleotides) under uncultured bacterium. RNAcentral's name for it is "bacterial SSU rRNA". It matches the Rfam family "Bacterial small subunit ribosomal RNA", at positions 8 to 526 of the family's 1533-position model. The record is from RNAcentral.
AGAGUUUGAUCAUGGCUCAGGACGAACGCUGGCGGUGCGCCUUAUGCAUGCAAGUCGAGCGAAGCUUUUCAGUAGUUUACUACAGAAAAUGACUGAGCGGCGAACGGGUGAGUAACGCGUGAGCAAUCUACCUUAGUUACAGGGAUAGCCCGAGGAAACUCGGAUUAAUACCUGAUAUUCUUUAUUUCUCGCAUGAGAAUAAAAGGAAAGGUCAGCCGAACUAAGAUGAGCUCGCGUUCUAUCAGCUAGUUGGUGAGGUAAAAGCUUACCAAGGCUACGACGGAUAGCUGGUCUGAGAGGACGAUCAGCCACACUGGGACUGAGACACGGCCCAGACUCCUACGGGAGGCUGCAGCAGGGAAUAUUGUGCAAUGAACGAAAGUUUGACACAGCGACACCGCGUGUGGGAUGACGGAUCUAGGUUUGUAAACCACUUUCAGGAGGGAAGAAAAUGACGGUACCUCCACAAGAAGCCCCGGCCAACUACGUGCCAGCCGCCGCGGUACUAC